GAUGAACGCUGGCGGCGUGCUUAACACAUGCAAGUCGAACGGGAUCCCAGGAGCUUGCUCCUGGGUGAGAGUGGCGAACGGGUGAGUAAUGCGUGACCGACCUGCCCCAUACACCGGAAUAGCUCCUGGAAACGGGUGGUAAUGCCGGAUGCUCCAGUUGGAUGCAUGUCCUUCUGGGAAAGAUUCUAUCGGUGUGGGAUGGGGGUCGCGUCCUAUCAGCUUGAUGGCGGGGUAACGGCCCACCCAUGGCUU
Molecule: ribosomal RNA, 252 nt
Filed under: uncultured Actinomycetes bacterium
Lineage: Bacteria; Bacillati; Actinomycetota; Actinomycetes
Description: uncultured actinobacterium partial 16S ribosomal RNA
Rfam family: Bacterial small subunit ribosomal RNA
Source: RNAcentral